Molecule: ribosomal RNA, 441 nt
Filed under: uncultured bacterium
Lineage: Bacteria
Description: partial 16S ribosomal RNA
Rfam family: Bacterial small subunit ribosomal RNA
Source: RNAcentral
CCUACGGGUGGCUGCAGUGGGGAAUAUUGCGCAAUGGGGGAAACCCUGACGCAGCAACGCCGCGUGAGUGAGGAAGUAUCUAGGUAUGUAAAGCUCUAUCAGCGGGGAAGAAGGAAGACGGUACCCGACUAAGAAGCACCGGCUAACUACGUGACAGCAGCCGCGGUAAUACGUAGGGGGCGAGCGUUAUCCGGAUUUACUGGGUGUAAAGGGAGCUGAGACGGCGGCGCAAGUCUGAAGUGAAAGCCCGUGGCUCAACCGCGGAACCGCUUUGGAAAAUGCGAGGCUGGAGUGCUGGAGAGGUAAGCGGCAUUCCUGGUGGAGCGGUGAAAUGCGUAGAGAUCAGGAGGAACACCGGUGGCGAAGGCGGCUUACUGGACAGUGACUGACGUUGAGGCUCGAAAGCGUGGGGAGCGAACAGGAUUAGAUACCCGAGUAGUC